Long non-coding RNA from Triticum aestivum (bread wheat), 293 nucleotides. RefSeq lists it as uncharacterized. NCBI's taxonomy places the organism in Eukaryota, Viridiplantae, Streptophyta, Magnoliopsida, Poales, Poaceae. The record is from RefSeq and is a predicted model, not a curated record. The transcript is spliced from 2 exons.
CAAGCCCGUCCCCUUCCUCCCCUCGGUCUAGAUCCUCCUCCUCUCCCGAUUCCCUCUCUCCCAACACCGACGCCGUCGCCUCCCCCGCAUGCCGGUCAUCCACCACUGCUGCACCCACCCUCUCCCCUUCUCAAUCUCGAUCCAGUCAGGAGAUUUGGGCUCCUGAGGUGAAUGAUUUCAUCUUGAUCUCCGACAGCGCCUACACCCGGGAGCAGAUUCUGAAGAUGGAGAAGGCCAUCUUGAUCGCCGGCCUCCCUCGCCCGGGAAGAUGACGGAGAACCACCGCUUCUAGG